Long non-coding RNA from Fundulus heteroclitus (mummichog), 160 nucleotides. RefSeq lists it as uncharacterized. NCBI's taxonomy places the organism in Eukaryota, Metazoa, Chordata, Actinopteri, Cyprinodontiformes, Fundulidae. The record is from RefSeq and is a predicted model, not a curated record. The transcript has 3 exons.
UAUGAAGGCCUGUCGAGGACCUAUGUCGACUACAUGAACCGCCUGUAUGAGCGAGAAAUCAAAGACUUCUUUGAGGUUGCCAAAAUAAAGAUGGCGGGCACAUCCAAAGAAGCGAAGGGCAAGUUUGCCACGCUUCCUUGGAAAAAAGAGUGCGUUCAAA